UUCAUACUCCCUCCGUCUCAAAAUUCUUGUCUUAAAUUUGUCUAGACAUGAAUGUAUCUAGUCACGUUUUAGUAUUUAGAUGCAUUCAUUUUUAGAUAAAGCUAAGACAAGAAUUUUGGGACGGAGGGAGUACGUA
Non-coding RNA from Hordeum vulgare subsp. vulgare (domesticated barley), 136 nucleotides. Lineage: Eukaryota; Viridiplantae; Streptophyta; Magnoliopsida; Poales; Poaceae. The record is from Rfam.